CGCCUCCUGGCCAAUCUAUAGGAGGUCCAGCCUGCCCAGUGACCAUGUUCAACGGCCGCGGUAUCCUAACCGUGCGAAGGUAGCGUAAUCACUUGUUCUUUAAAUGAGGACUAGUAUGAACGGCAUCACGAAGGUUAUACUGUCUCCUUUUUCCAAUCAGUGAAACUAAUCUUCCCGUGAAGAAGCGGGAAUAAAACUAUAAGACGAGAAGACCCUAUGGAGCUUCAAACUCUCAACAACUAUCUUUUUUUAUAUAACUCUAAAGAAAAUAAUGAUUAUCUAGAUAGUAUGAUUGCCAGUUUUUGGUUGGGGUGACCACGGAGUAAAACACAACCUCCAAGAUGUAUAGGAUUCAUUCCUAAACAAAGAAUUACUAUUCAAAGUAUCAAAAAAUUGACAACAUUGACCCAAUAUUUUGAUCAACGAACCAAGUUACCCUAGGGAUAACAGCGCAAUCCAUCUAAAGAGUUCAUAUCGACAGAUGGGUUUACGACCUCGAUGUUGGAUCAGGGUAUCCCAGUGGUGCAGCCGCUACUAAAGGUUCGUUUGUUCAACGAUUUAAACCCUA
RNAcentral lists this ribosomal RNA (568 nucleotides) under Agalychnis terranova. RNAcentral describes it as "partial 16S ribosomal RNA". It matches the Rfam family "Bacterial large subunit ribosomal RNA", at positions 1817 to 2598 of the family's 2925-position model. Lineage: Eukaryota; Metazoa; Chordata; Amphibia; Anura; Hylidae. The record is from RNAcentral.